Molecule: non-coding RNA, 169 nt
Filed under: human gut metagenome
Description: Lysine riboswitch
Rfam family: Lysine riboswitch aptamer
About the family: Riboswitches are metabolite binding domains within certain messenger RNAs that serve as precision sensors for their corresponding targets.
Source: RNAcentral
AACGGUAGAGGUUGCGUGAUUCAUGAGUAUUCCAUCCGAUGUGGCUGGCACAGGCGAGGGUGGAAGAAGGGGGAGAACGCCGAAAGGAUUCUUUCACAGCGGGGAAUUCCUUGGGCAUGGGAUGAAUAAUUCUAUGACUGUCAUCUGUUUUGGAUGGGGCGCUAUCGGG